UUCACCCGUGAGCACCAAAGAGACAUCCGUCUUCUUCAACCGCAAGACGCCUUCUCUCCAUCGUCCUGCCGUCGUCUUCUAGCCCAAAAGGGUUUGCGCGUCUCAAACUCUGUCACAAGGUUGCCUUGCCCGUGAAUCGUCGUCCAAAAGGUUGCACAUUUCCUCUACAAACUGAACUUCAAAAUCGCGAUUGGGAUUGAUAAGGCCAAGAUGUUGUACAAAGAGAUGAUAGGGUCUAAUUUUACAAUGAAGCAUUGUUUGUGUCUUUUGAGACACCAACAAAAAUGACAGAAACACAUAUCUACCUUUGGUAAGAAGAGAAAGUCACAAGAAAAAUAUGUUGGUGAAGUUGAUGUUGAUUUAGCCGAGGAGGACCUGGAGGUUCUUACUGAGAGACCUUCAGACAAAAAAGUUGAGAAAGAAAGGGAGAGGAAGUGGAAGUCGAUGGAAGGCAAAUAGGUAGAGAUCAAAACAGCGUUAGCUAAAAUGACCGAGGAUAGAGUGACGACCAUGGAAGAAAGGAGAAAUACUAUGUUGAAGGCAGAGGAAAAAAGUGAAAAAGUAUUUGAACUAAAGAAGAAGUUUGAACUAGAGGAGAAGAAAUUUGAACUAGAGAAGAAGAAUUUUGAACUAAAGAGAUAAUGAUGCUAAAUGUACGUGGUAUGAAUGCCAUGCAACAAGAAUAUUUCCGUAAUAUUCAAUUAGCAAUUUUUAAGGAUUCAAAGUCACAUUCUGGAUGUACAUCUACAUCUCUUUCGACACCUUAUGGAGGUGUCUAACUUUUAGUGUUGGUAGUACUAAAUUUUUUGAGAAUUUAGUGGCUGCCCAGUCACAUGUGGGCUGGAUAAAUAUGUAGCUGGGUAGCAACUAAAUGCUUGGACUGUGGACUAUGGAUUGUGUUGGACUAUGGAAUGUGUUUGUAUUUAUUUGUGGACUGUCUUGCUCAAUACUAAUGUUCAUUUUAUAUAUGUUAGACUGUGUUGAGAACACUAAUGUUGGACUGUGGACUGUGUUGAGGACACUAAUGUUGGAC
This is a long non-coding RNA of Juglans regia (Persian walnut), 1033 nucleotides long. RefSeq lists it as uncharacterized. The transcript is spliced from 3 exons. The record is from RefSeq and is a predicted model, not a curated record. Lineage: Eukaryota; Viridiplantae; Streptophyta; Magnoliopsida; Fagales; Juglandaceae.